This is a long non-coding RNA of Gallus gallus (chicken), 413 nucleotides long. NCBI's taxonomy places the organism in Eukaryota, Metazoa, Chordata, Aves, Galliformes, Phasianidae. The record is from Ensembl.
GCUGAUUUCUAUCAGCUGGAAAUCACAAAGAACUUACAAUGGGGCCCAAACCAAACCCUUGGAUCUAAACCCAAGGUCCAGGUUCAGAACUGAGUUCACAGCUUUAACCUUGUUCCUGAAGACAUGGCAUCAGGCCCAUGAGCCCCAGCACACAUCGCGUUUGCAUUUCAAAGCCCAGGUCCAGGAAUUACUGCUGCCUGGUGGAGCGGUACAAAUGGUGCUGGCCCUAAGACUCUGGGAUGCCUCCAGCCUGAAGACCCAGAUCCUCUAAGAUGACUUAUCGUGGCUCUCUGAGAUACAGCCUUCAAGACACCAUACAGAUUCAGGAUGAUGGCACCUUUCAUAAGGACUGCAAUAAUCCUUCUGUUCCUGAUGAUGCAUGAACUACAGUCCCAAUGACAGUCACAUUAUAG